GAUGAACGCUGGCGGCGUGCCUAAUACAUGCAAGUCGAGCGAACAGACGAGGAGCUUGCUCCUCUGACGUUAGCGGCGGACGGGUGAGUAACACGUGGAUAACCUACCUAUAAGACUGGGAUAACUUCGGGAAACCGGAGCUAAUACCGGAUAAUAUAUUGAACCGCAUGGUUCAAUAGUGAAAGACGGUUUUGCUGUCACUUAUAGAUGGAUCCGCGCCGCAUUAGCUAGUUGGUAAGGUAACGGCUUACCCAGGCAACGAUGCGUAGCCGACCUGAGAGGGUGAUCGGCCACACUGGAACUGAGACACGGUCCAGACUCCUACGGGAGGCAACAGUAGGGAAUCUUCCGCAAUGGGCGAAAGCCUGACGGAGCAACGCCGCGUGAGUGAUGAAGGUCUUCGGAUCGUAAAACUCUGUUAUUAGGGAAGAACAAAUGUGUAAGUAACUAUGCACGUCUUGACGGUACCUAAUCAGAAAGCCACGGCUAACUACGUG
This 497-nucleotide ribosomal RNA is filed under the name uncultured bacterium. RNAcentral describes it as "partial 16S ribosomal RNA". It matches the Rfam family "Bacterial small subunit ribosomal RNA", at positions 28 to 507 of the family's 1533-position model. The record is from RNAcentral.